This 465-nucleotide ribosomal RNA is filed under the name Vreelandella stevensii. RNAcentral's name for it is "partial 16S ribosomal RNA". It matches the Rfam family "Bacterial small subunit ribosomal RNA", at positions 338 to 795 of the family's 1533-position model. Lineage: Bacteria; Pseudomonadati; Pseudomonadota; Gammaproteobacteria; Oceanospirillales; Halomonadaceae. The record is from RNAcentral.
CCUACGGGUGGCAGCAGUGGGGAAUAUUGGACAAUGGGCGAAAGCCUGAUCCAGCCAUGCCGCGUGUGUGAAGAAGGCCUUCGGGUGGUAAAGCACUUUCAGUGGGGAAGAAAGCCUUGGGGCUAAUACCCUCGAGGAAGGACAUCACCCACAGAAGAAGCACCGGCUAACUCCGUGCCAGCAGCCGCGGUAAUACGGAGGGUGCGAGCGUUAAUCGGAAUUACUGGGCGUAAAGCGCGCGUAGGCGGUCUGAUAAGCCGGUUGUGAAAGCCCCGGGCUCAACCUGGGAACGGCAUCCGGAACUGUCAGGCUAGAGUGCAGGAGAGGAAGGUAGAAUUCCCGGUGUAGCGGUGAAAUGCGUAGAGAUCGGGAGGAAUACCAGUGGCGAAGGCGGCCUUCUGGACUGACACUGACGCUGAGGUGCGAAAGCGUGGGUAGCAAACAGGAUUAGAUACCCUAGUAGUC